GCGAAAGUGGCGGAAUGGUAGACGCGCUGGAUUUAGGAUCCAGUGGGCUUUGCCCGUGCGAGUUCGAGUCUCGCCUUUCGCACCA
This 85-nucleotide transfer RNA is filed under the name Thiohalospira halophila DSM 15071. RNAcentral's name for it is "tRNA_Leu_TAG". It matches the Rfam family "tRNA". From Rfam's summary of the family: Transfer RNA (tRNA) molecules are approximately 80 nucleotides in length. Their secondary structure includes four short double-helical elements and three loops (D, anti-codon, and T loops). Lineage: Bacteria; Pseudomonadati; Pseudomonadota; Gammaproteobacteria; Thiohalospirales; Thiohalospiraceae. RNAcentral also lists the same sequence under 2 other names. The record is from RNAcentral.